CAAACCUGGCUCUAGAAAGCUGAGCUCUGACACAGAGUUGAAGUCCCCCUCCAGGUUCAAAAUUGAUUCAGGUUCAAAAUUGGUCCAAAAUUGUGUCAACCUCCAGGACUUGUCCAUGUGUGGCCUCUGUGAAGAGCCGUGCUCAAGUCAUGUCCAAGUCCAAGCCAGAAAGGGCCUUGCAGCAGCCACCUCAGAUGAAAGCACUUCCCAAAACCAAGAGAAACAAAAAAAGCUUCCUCGAAGUGGAUGGAGAUGCUGCACAAACUGCCUGAGCACCUCUGCCCUGCUCUGGGUUAUUGAACUGGCUUCUGCAAAGGCAAUUUCAAACAGCAAACAGCUAAGCAAGGGGAGCAAGACAUAACCUUUGCUUCUGCAGGACCUACCAGAAGCUGACAAUGUGGGUACGUGGGCAAUGGGAAAAGCAGUUUAUGUUUUAAGCUUCACGUGACCUCUGGAGCUUCUGGGCUUUGGAAGGUGAGAGUGAGACAAUCCUCACAAGCACUUGAUCCCUCUCGAAGUGAAGGGGCUUUCCUGGGUACACAGCUUUCCCCCUUCUGUCUCAGAAGUGUAUCUGGUUUUUUGGGGGUGGAAAAAAAAAAAAAAAAGAGGAUUGAUUCAAAUAAAAAUGUAUUUGUAUGAGAAAAAUUAUUUCCU
This 654-nucleotide long non-coding RNA is filed under the name Parus major (Great Tit). RNAcentral's name for it is "lncRNA (ENSPMJG00000010577.1)". The record is from RNAcentral. Lineage: Eukaryota; Metazoa; Chordata; Aves; Passeriformes; Paridae.